Long non-coding RNA from Dromaius novaehollandiae (emu), 1561 nucleotides. Lineage: Eukaryota; Metazoa; Chordata; Aves; Casuariiformes; Dromaiidae. The record is from Ensembl.
UCUAAGUAAGUAUUGUUUUUUAUUUAUAUUGAGAUCUACUUCCUAUUAUCAUAGCAGGGAAAAAAGGUGCCCCCUUUGGGACUCAGGAAACUGAUAGGUGAGAAGGUGAGUUGGAGACAAAAGCGAAUGAAGACCCUUGGCAGCACAACAAGCAACCAAGGAAUGAAAGGACUGUUUGCUCUCGUUUCCAAGUAGAUUGGCCUGGCUACAGUUCUUUCACUGAUUUUCUGACCACCCUUGAUCAGCAAUUAGGAACUGUCAACUGUCUCCAUCCAAAGGCUGUUUGUGAUAACAGCCAGGCCUUCUAGUGUUGUCCCUGAACUAGGAAAAGGUCCUAGCCUAAAGCGGCAAAAGAUACAGCCCGUCUUAUUCUCAGCCCUCCCUUUGCCAAUAAAAAAACACACAGAAAAGAAAAGAUGUGCUGGCAUUCCAAUAAAAAUAAACUCAGAUGUUAAAAGACAAAUCUUACUUUAUUCAGGGAAAGAUGGUGAACUCUGAAAUGGGAGGAAUAAAAUCUGUAAUGGAAAUUUGAGGAAGAAUUUUUUUAGAUGUUAUCUUCACAUGCAGUUACUCGGAAUAAGAAAGGCAAUAUCUGAAGUGCUAUAAUCACCUACAGUUAUGAGGAAAAAAAAAGGAUUUCUUAACAGGAUAGCUAUUGAAGUUAUGCAGGUCAAAUUGAAAAAAAAAAAAAUCAAAUUUGCUGAGUAGACCCUAAACACAACCUUAUACAUUCCAAAUAAAAAGCAUAUGCUGAUUCCAGAUAUUACUGUGAUUGAUUGCUAGUGGUGCAAACUAGAGGUACAAUAUUUCCUGGAGGAAGACACUGUGACUUAGGGGUUGCAGGUACUGAUAGCUCUGCAGGGAGAGUACUUGAGAUUCUGCUUAUAUAAGGUGCUUGAGAGCAUCUGUGAGGUUUCAGUUGUAUCCACUUGCUUUGCCAGAGAACUGACCUAAAAAACAAAGGAAUAGGUCCUCCUAGUCAAAGCAUCAGCUUCUCUGGAAUGACAUCUGUGAAAAGGAUCUUGAAGGUAGAGAAAAUGGAAAUAAAGUAACCUGCACUAGAAGAACUAGAAGAACCUGCACUGUUACAAGAAGUCAGUCUCCUGAGUCCUGGACCAGGUCAGUUCUUGCUGGAUCAUGCUCUGCCCAAAACUGUCUGGCCUUUCUGGACAAUGGUUUAAAAAAAAGAGAGAGAGAGAGAAAUAUCUGUUUAUUUUUUACAUAUUCCAUUGCAUUUGUUAGACUUUAGACUGUAUACAACCUUAUAUAAUAUCCAGAAAGUUGCAGUAGUUUUAAAGCAACAACUGGAUCAAAUAUGCAGGUAUUAUACAUAGGAUGUCAAAUAGCAUAAGAAGAGUCAUAUGAUGAGAGUGCCUUUUGUCUUCCCCUUUUUUCUGGAGGACACUUUUCUGGAGGACAAGAAAAAUCACAAAAGUAUGGUAUUCAAAGCAAAGCCUCAGGAGCAAACUAAUGAUAGAUGAAAAGAAGCAAGAAACUUUUAUAAAGCCAGCCUAUUACCUAUUCUUUUUCUUUCGGCUCCAGGAAGAGUUACUGUAGAAGA